AAUAUUGCGCAAUGGGGGAAACCCUGACGCAGCGACGCCGCGUGAAGGAAGAAGGUUUUCGGAUUGUAAACCUCUGUCUUCGGGGAAGAUAAUGACGGUACCCGAGGAGGAAGCCCCGGCUAACUACGUGCCAGCAGCCGCGGUAAUACGUAGGGGGCAAGCGUUAUCCGGAUUUAUUGGGUGUAAAGGGUGCGUAGGCGGGUGAUCAAGUUGAAUGUGAAAUCCACCGGCUCAACUGGUGGGCUGCGUUCAAAACUGAUUAUCUUGAGUAUGGUAGAGGCAAGUGGAAUUCCCAGUGUAGCGGUAAAAUGCGUAGAGAUUGGGAGGAACACCAGUGGCGAAGGCGGCUUUCUGGACGAUAACUGACGCUGAGGCGCGAAAGCGUGGGUAGCAAACAGG
Molecule: ribosomal RNA, 399 nt
Filed under: uncultured bacterium
Lineage: Bacteria
Description: partial 16S ribosomal RNA
Rfam family: Bacterial small subunit ribosomal RNA
Source: RNAcentral